RNAcentral lists this ribosomal RNA (618 nucleotides) under uncultured Alphaproteobacteria bacterium. RNAcentral describes it as "bacterial SSU rRNA". It matches the Rfam family "Bacterial small subunit ribosomal RNA", at positions 28 to 695 of the family's 1533-position model. Lineage: Bacteria; Pseudomonadati; Pseudomonadota; Alphaproteobacteria. The record is from RNAcentral.
AACGUCGCUGGCGGCACGCUAACACUGCAAGUCGAACGAAGUAGCAUACUUAGUCGCAGACGGGUGAGUAACAUGUAGGUAUCUGCCCUUUGGCCUGGAAUAACACGAGGAAACUUGUGCUAAUACCGGAUAAGUCUUUACGGAGAAAGCUUUAUGCACCAUUGGAUGAGCCUGCACUUGAUUAGUUUGUUGGUGGGGUAAUGGCCUACCAAGACUGUGAUCAAUAGCUGAUUUGAGAGGAUGACCAGCCACAUUGGGACUGAGACACGGCCCAAACUCCUACGGGAGGCAGCAGUGGGGAAUCUUGCACAAUGGAGGAAACUCUGAUGCAGCGAUGCCGCGUGAGUGAAGAAGGCCCUUGGGUUGUAAAGCUCUUUCGUCGGGGAAGAAAAUGACUGUACCCGAAUAAGAAGGUCCGGCUAACUUCGUGCCAGCAGCCGCGGUAAUACGAAGGGACCUAGCGUAGUUCGGAAUUACUGGGCUUAAAGAGUUCGUAGGUGGUUGAAAAAGUUAGUGGUGAAAUCCCAGAGCUUAACUCUGGAACUGCCAUUAAAACUUUUCAGCUAGAGUAUGAUAGAGGAAAGCAGAAUUUCUAGUGUAGAGGUGAAAUUCGUAGAU